GACGAACGCUGGCGGCGUGCUUAACACAUGCAAGUCGAACGGUAAGGCUCCAGCUUGCUGGGGUACACGAGUGGCGAACGGGUGAGUAACACGUGGGUGACCUGCCCUGCACUUCGGGAUAAGCCUGGGAAACUGGGUCUAAUACCGGAUAGGACCGCACCGUGAGGGUGUGGUGGAAAGUUUUUUCGGUGUGGGAUGGGCCCGCGGCCUAUCAGCUUGUUGGUGGGGUAAUGGCCUACCAAGGCGGCGACGGGUAGCCGGCCUGAGAGGGUGGACGGCCACAUUGGGACUGAGACACGGCCCAGACUCCUACGGGAGGCAGCAGUGGGGAAUAUUGCACAAUGGGCGGAAGCCUGAUGCAGCGACGCCGCGUGGGGGAUGACGGCCUUCGGGUUGUAAACUCCUUUCACCAUCGACGAAGGGUUUCUGACGGUAGAUGGAGAAGAAGCACCGGCUAACUACGUGCCAGCAGCCGCGGUAAUACGUAGGGUGCGAGCGUUGUCCGGAAUUACUGGGCGUAAAGAGCUCGUAGGUGGUUUGUCGCGUCGUCUGUGAAAUUCCGGGGCUUAACUCCGGGCGUGCAGGCGAUACGGGCAUAACUUGAGUACUGUAGGGGAGACUGGAAUUCCUGGUGUAGCGGUGAAAUGCGCAGAUAUCAGGAGGAACACCGGUGGCGAAGGCGGGUCUCUGGGCAGUAACUGACGCUGAGGAGCGAAAGCAUGGGGAGCGAACAGGAUUAGAUACCCUGGUAGUCCAUGCCGUAAACGGUGGGCGCUAGGUGUGGGUUUCCUUCCACGGGAUCCGUGCCGUAGCUAACGCAUUAAGCGCCCCGCCUGGGGAGUACGGCCGCAAGGCUAAAACUCAAAGGAAUUGACGGGGGCCCGCACAAGCGGCGGAGCAUGUGGAUUAAUUCGAUGCAACGCGAAGAACCUUACCUGGGCUUGACAUAUACAGGAUCGCGCCAGAGAUGGUGUUUCCCUUGUGGCUUGUAUACAGGUGGUGCAUGGUUGUCGUCAGCUCGUGUCGUGAGAUGUUGGGUUAAGUCCCGCAACGAGCGCAACCCUUGUCUUAUGUUGCCAGCACGUUGUGGUGGGGACUCGUAAGAAACUGCCGGGGUUAACUCGGAGGAAGGUGGGGAUGACGUCAAAUCAUCAUGCCCCUUAUGUCCAGGGCUCCACACAUGCUACAAUGGUCGGUACAGUGGGUUGCCAGUCCGUGAGGGCGAGCUAAUCCCGCAAAGCCGGUCUCAGUUCGGAUCGGGGUCUGCAACUCGACCCCGUGAAGUCGGAGUCGCUAGUAAUCGCAGAUCAGCAACGCUGCGGUGAAUACGUUCCCGGGCCU
This 1341-nucleotide ribosomal RNA is filed under the name uncultured bacterium. RNAcentral describes it as "partial 16S ribosomal RNA". It matches the Rfam family "Bacterial small subunit ribosomal RNA", at positions 28 to 1381 of the family's 1533-position model. The record is from RNAcentral.